UACGUAGGGUGCGAGCGUUGUCCGGAAUUAUUGGGCGUAAAGAGCUCGUAGGCGGUGUGUCACGUCGGCCGUGAAAACCUGCAGCUUAACUGUGGGCGUGCGGUCGAUACGGGCAUCACUGGAGUUCGGCAGGGGAGACUGGAAUUCAUGGUGUAGCAGUGAAAUGCGUAGAGAUCAUGAGGAAGACCAGUGGCGAAGGCGGUCUCUGGACAGUUCCUGACACUGAGACACGAAGGCCAGGGGAGCAAACGGG
RNAcentral lists this ribosomal RNA (253 nucleotides) under uncultured bacterium. Its description in RNAcentral is "partial 16S ribosomal RNA". It matches the Rfam family "Bacterial small subunit ribosomal RNA", at positions 524 to 776 of the family's 1533-position model. The record is from RNAcentral.